RNAcentral lists this ribosomal RNA (400 nucleotides) under Escherichia coli. RNAcentral describes it as "bacterial SSU rRNA". It matches the Rfam family "Bacterial small subunit ribosomal RNA", at positions 1 to 397 of the family's 1533-position model. The record is from RNAcentral. RNAcentral also lists the same sequence under 1 other name. Lineage: Bacteria; Pseudomonadati; Pseudomonadota; Gammaproteobacteria; Enterobacterales; Enterobacteriaceae.
AAAUUGAAGAGUUUGAUCAUGGCUCAGAUUGAACGCUGGCGGCAGGCCUAACACAUGCAAGUCGAACGGUAACAGGAAGCAGCUUGCUGUUUCGCUGACGAGUGGCGGACGGGUGAGUAAUGUCUGGGAAACUGCCUGAUGGAGGGGGAUAACUACUGGAAACGGUAGCUAAUACCGCAUAACGUCGCAAGACCAAAGAGGGGGACCUUCGGGCCUCUUGCCAUCGGAUGUGCCCAGAUGGGAUUAGCUUGUUGGUGGGGUAACGGCUCACCAAGGCGACGAUCCCUAGCUGGUCUGAGAGGAUGACCAGCCACACUGGAACUGAGACACGGUCCAGACUCCUACGGGAGGCAGCAGUGGGGAAUAUUGCACAAUGGGCGCAAGCCUGAUGCAGCCAUGC